Molecule: RNA transcript, 4276 nt
Organism: Homo sapiens (human)
Lineage: Eukaryota; Metazoa; Chordata; Mammalia; Primates; Hominidae
Gene: C1QTNF3
Gene name: C1q and TNF related 3
Exons: 12
Source: RefSeq, marked validated
ACUAGGCAAAGCCAGCUGGGCUCCUGAGUCCGGUGGGUACUUGGAGAACUUACUACGUCUAGCUGGAGGAUUGUAAAUGCACCAAUCAGCAUGCUGUGUCUAGCUCAAGAGAGCAGUCAUGAUGGCCUGCACUCCACACAAUGCAACAGAGUGAAAGAGCAGGUUCUGCUUCUUUGGUGUAGUCCUGAAGCUUCCUAAGAAACUUCACAUCAGGUGAUGGAUAGGAGCAACCCUGUAAAACCAGCCUUAGACUAUUUUUCAAACAGGCUGGUGAAUUACCAUAUCUCCGUCAAGUGCAGUAACCAGUUCAAGUUGGAAGUGUGUCUUUUGAAAUCAGACAACAAAGUCGUGGACAACCAGGCUGGGACCCAGGGCCAGCUGAAGGUGCUGGGUGCCAACCUCUGGUGGCCGUACCUGAUGCACGAACACCCCGCCUACCUGUACUCGUGGGAGGAUGGUGAUUGCUCACACCAAAGCCUUGGACCCCUCCCAGCCUGUGACCUUUGUGACCAACUCCACCUACGCAGCAGACAAGGGGGAUCCACCUCUGAUGUUCAGUGAAGAGUACCAGAAAAGUCUGCUAGAGCAGUACCAUCUGGGUCUCAAUCAAAAACGCAGAAAAUACGUGGUUGGAGAGCUCAUCUGGAAUUUUGCCGAUUUCAUGACUAACCAGUCCAAGGAUGAAGGAAACACUGGACCUCAUUAUGGAUUUACUUUUGGGAUACACUCAUCAUUCCAGAGGAGGGUAAAAGGCUGAGAAGCUUAAGUUCUGCAGGCUGGAAAUCCAAGAUGAAGUCACCUGUAGUUCAGUGUCUGCGUCUAAGAGAGUACUUUGUUGCUGCACCCGCCAGAGGGAAGAAAUACUGUAUCUUCUCAUGAAGGAAGGAACCGAAGUCUCCACAAACCGGAGGACUACCCCCAGACUGCAGUAAGUGUUGUCAUGGAGACUACAGCUUUCGAGGCUACCAAGGCCCCCCUGGGCCACCGGGCCCUCCUGGCAUUCCAGGAAACCAUGGAAACAAUGGCAACAAUGGAGCCACUGGUCAUGAAGGAGCCAAAGGUGAGAAGGGCGACAAAGGUGACCUGGGGCCUCGAGGGGAGCGGGGGCAGCAUGGCCCCAAAGGAGAGAAGGGCUACCCGGGGAUUCCACCAGAACUUCAGAUUGCAUUCAUGGCUUCUCUGGCAACCCACUUCAGCAAUCAGAACAGUGGGAUUAUCUUCAGCAGUGUUGAGACCAACAUUGGAAACUUCUUUGAUGUCAUGACUGGUAGAUUUGGGGCCCCAGUAUCAGGUGUGUAUUUCUUCACCUUCAGCAUGAUGAAGCAUGAGGAUGUUGAGGAAGUGUAUGUGUACCUUAUGCACAAUGGCAACACAGUCUUCAGCAUGUACAGCUAUGAAAUGAAGGGCAAAUCAGAUACAUCCAGCAAUCAUGCUGUGCUGAAGCUAGCCAAAGGGGAUGAGGUUUGGCUGCGAAUGGGCAAUGGCGCUCUCCAUGGGGACCACCAACGCUUCUCCACCUUUGCAGGAUUCCUGCUCUUUGAAACUAAGUAAAUAUAUGACUAGAAUAGCUCCACUUUGGGGAAGACUUGUAGCUGAGCUGAUUUGUUACGAUCUGAGGAACAUUAAAGUUGAGGGUUUUACAUUGCUGUAUUCAAAAAAUUAUUGGUUGCAAUGUUGUUCACGCUACAGGUACACCAAUAAUGUUGGACAAUUCAGGGGCUCAGAAGAAUCAACCACAAAAUAGUCUUCUCAGAUGACCUUGACUAAUAUACUCAGCAUCUUUAUCACUCUUUCCUUGGCACCUAAAAGAUAAUUCUCCUCUGACGCAGGUUGGAAAUAUUUUUUUCUAUCACAGAAGUCAUUUGCAAAGAAUUUUGACUACUCUGCUUUUAAUUUAAUACCAGUUUUCAGGAACCCCUGAAGUUUUAAGUUCAUUAUUCUUUAUAACAUUUGAGAGAAUCGGAUGUAGUGAUAUGACAGGGCUGGGGCAAGAACAGGGGCACUAGCUGCCUUAUUAGCUAAUUUAGUGCCCUCCGUGUUCAGCUUAGCCUUUGACCCUUUCCUUUUGAUCCACAAAAUACAUUAAAACUCUGAAUUCACAUACAAUGCUAUUUUAAAGUCAAUAGAUUUUAGCUAUAAAGUGCUUGACCAGUAAUGUGGUUGUAAUUUUGUGUAUGUUCCCCCACAUCGCCCCCAACUUCGGAUGUGGGGUCAGGAGGUUGAGGUUCACUAUUAACAAAUGUCAUAAAUAUCUCAUAGAGGUACAGUGCCAAUAGAUAUUCAAAUGUUGCAUGUUGACCAGAGGGAUUUUAUAUCUGAAGAACAUACACUAUUAAUAAAUACCUUAGAGAAAGAUUUUGACCUGGCUUUAGAUAAAACUGUGGCAAGAAAAAUGUAAUGAGCAAUAUAUGGAAAUAAACACACCUUUGUUAAAGAUACUUUCUAAACUUGUGUUUAAUAAACUUUAAUAGUCAUAGAAUUGUAAAUCACUAUGGUUAACAGAAAGUGAAAAUAUUUUCAUGCAGAUGAUGUGAACAGCCAUGUGAAUAGGUGACUUGGGCACACAGCAGGGUCAUAUGACUUCAGAAAACUUCGCUUUUCAGUUAUUCCAUUGUUAUAAUGUCAACCCUUUAAGACAUUGAUGUUUAGAGGGCUCACAAAUAAAAUCUGAAUACCUGUAAGGAAAGAGGUUUUUUAUCACAUACCUUAAGUCUUUGUAAUGUUCAUGCUUAAAUUCUAAGUUUUCACCUUAGUGACACACAAGGUUUGGUUGUAGGCAACAAGUCCCAGGUGUGUGGGAAAUUGAUUCACAACAGAGAUGGGAAAAGGUGCAGAUAAUUUCCAAUGCCUUCACAAUUUACCCAUGACCAGAAAUAUACUUGGAAGACUGAUUUCACAAGUGUCCCAAAACUGAGAUGCUAAAAAGGAAACAGUAGGUAGGUGUCAUAGGAAAUUUACAUGUACCAUCUAAUAAACAAACUUGCAAAUUCUAAAUCUUUUUUUUUUUUGAGACAGUUUCACGCUGCUGCCCAGGCUGGAGUGCAGUGGCAUGAUCUCAGCUCACCGCAGCCUCCGCCUCCUGGGUUCAAGUGACUCUCCUACCUCAGCCUCCUGAGUAGCUGGGACUACAGGCGCCCACCACCAGGACCAGCUAAUUUUUAAUGUUUCUAAUAGAGAUGGGGUUUCACCAUGUUGACCAGGCCGGUCUGGAACUCCUGACCUCAGGUGAUCUGCCUGCCUCGGUCUUCCAAAGUGCUGGGAUUACAGGCGUGAGCCCCCGCACCCAGCCGCAAAUUCUAAAUCUUAAAACAACUCUGCAAACGAAGCACUUGAGUUUCUGCUUGCUUCAGGGAUGUAAUAUGGUGUAGAACUGUUUCACAUAAUGAUCAGCCUUGGUAAUUUUCCAGUGUAGAAAACAUUAUAUUUGACCCUUGGACAACAAAGAGAUUAUAUUGAAGGAAUUUUAUUGAUUGUAUCAUGAAUAAAAGCUGAAGUCAAAAUUAAAAUGUAAAAAAAUAAUUCAGAGGAUGGAAUAUGCAAAUGUAAACUCCAAAUGAUGUGGCUGGAAUUCAUAAACAUUUACUUUAUGCAAGAUACUGUGCUAUUCCAGGCACUCCUAUGGCAUUUAAAGUACAAUUCUUACCUUCCCUAAUUUUUCAACCUAGUAGAGGACAAUAGGCUAAAGGGAAUAAGUACAUGGAUAACAAAACAUAAAGUAGAAUGUUUUUACAGCCAUAGAAGGCAAAGGGCUAGGAAUUCACAGGAGAGAGAAACAGUAUCUAGCUGAGAGCAUAAGAAAAGCUUGUGGAAAAGAUAAUAUCUGAUGGCCAGAGACAAUUUCUUGCUUUGGUAUGUUUGAAGUGUUAUAUUUAAAUAUAUAUAUUUUUAUUUAAAAAACUCACUAUAGAAAAUUUAUAAAAUUCCCCAAAAUAUUUAGUAUAAAAUUAAUCAUCCCAUCAAAUAUUAAAUAAUAUUACUAUUUUAAAGUGUUUAUUUCAGUCUUUUCCUGCAUGUAUUUAUGGCUUUUAUUUUUAAAUAUAGUAAUAAAAUAAUUUGAAAUUAGCUUUUUAUAUAUUUUUGUAUCUUGCUCUAAUGGGUUGGACUAAACAUAUUAAGAACACUCUCAAAUGCUACUAAGGACAAUUUGAAAACAUAAUUUUAAUGACUGCAUAAUUUAUUUAACUUUCCUGUUUUGGAAAAUAUUAUUUUUUUUUUAUUACAAAUAAUAUGUCAUGAGCAUUCUCUUUUUAAAAAAAUAAACUAUGUGUGCAUAUAA